This 229-nucleotide ribosomal RNA is filed under the name uncultured bacterium. RNAcentral describes it as "partial 16S ribosomal RNA". It matches the Rfam family "Bacterial small subunit ribosomal RNA", at positions 15 to 235 of the family's 1533-position model. The record is from RNAcentral.
GAUCCUGGCUCAGGAUGAACGCUAGCGACAGGCCUAACACAUGCAAGUCGAGGGGCAACAUGGUAUCAGCUUGCUGAUACUGAUGGCGACCGGCGCACGGGUGAGUAACGCGUAUGUAAUCUACCUGUAACAGAGGGAUAACCCGGAGAAAUCCGGACUAAUACCUCAUAGCACAUAUUAUUCGCAUGAAUUUUAUGUUAAAGAGACUCGGUUACAGAUGAACAUGUCG